UACGUAGGGUGCGAGCGUUAAUCGGAAUUACUGGGCGUAAAGCGUGCGCAGGCGGCGCGUUAAGACAGGUGUGAAAGCCCCGGCCUUAACCUGGGAACUGCAUUUGUGACUGCAUCGCUGGAGUGCGGCAGAGGGGGAUGGAAUUCCGCGUGUAGCAGUGAAAUGCGUAGAUAUGCGGAGGAACACCGAUGGCGAAGGCAAUCCCCUGGGCCUGCACUGACGCUCAUGCACGAAAGCGUGGGGAGCAAACAGG
This 253-nucleotide ribosomal RNA is filed under the name uncultured bacterium. Its description in RNAcentral is "partial 16S ribosomal RNA". It matches the Rfam family "Bacterial small subunit ribosomal RNA", at positions 524 to 776 of the family's 1533-position model. The record is from RNAcentral.